AGAGUUUGAUUCUGGCUCAGAUUGAACGCUGGCGGCAGGCUUAACACAUGCAAGUCGAGCGGAUGAAGGUAGCUUGCUACUGGAUUCAGCGGCGGACGGGUGAGUAAUGCUUAGGAAUCUGCCUAUUAGUGGGGGACAACAUCUCGAAAGGGAUGCUAAUACCGCAUACGUCCUACGGGAGAAAGCAGGGGAUCUUCGGACCUUGCGCUAAUAGAUGAGCCUAAGUCGGAUUAGCUAGUUGGUGGGGUAAAGGCCUACCAAGGCGACGAUCUGCAGCGGGUCUGAGAGGAUGAUCCGCCACACUGGGACUGAGACACGGCCCAGACUCCUACGGGAGGCAGCAGUGGGGAAUAUUGGACAAUGGGGGCAACCCUGAUCCAGCCAUGCCGCGUGUGUGAAGAAGGCCUUUUGGUUGUAAAGCACUUUAAGCGAGGAGGAGGCUUACCUGGUUAAUACCCGGGAUAAGUGGACGUUACUCGCAGAAUAAGCACCGGCUAACUCUGUGCCAGCAGCCGCGGUAAUACAGAGGGUGCGAGCGUUAAUCGGAUUUACUGGGCGUAAAGCGCGCGUAGGCGGCUUUUUAAGUCGGAUGUGAAAUCCCCGAGCUUAACUUGGGAAUUGCAUUCGAUACUGGGAAGCUAGAGUAUGGGAGAGGAUGGUAGAAUUCCAGGUGUAGCGGUGAAAUGCGUAGAGAUCUGGAGGAAUACCGAUGGCGAAGGCAGCCACCUGGCCUAAUACUGACGCUGAGGUGCGAAAGCAUGGGGAGCAAACAGGAUUAGAUACCCUGGUAGUCCAUGCCGUAAACGA
RNAcentral lists this ribosomal RNA (807 nucleotides) under uncultured bacterium. RNAcentral's name for it is "bacterial SSU rRNA". It matches the Rfam family "Bacterial small subunit ribosomal RNA", at positions 8 to 809 of the family's 1533-position model. The record is from RNAcentral.